RNAcentral lists this transfer RNA (65 nucleotides) under Dipodomys ordii (Ord's kangaroo rat). It matches the Rfam family "tRNA". Rfam says of the family: Transfer RNA (tRNA) molecules are approximately 80 nucleotides in length. Their secondary structure includes four short double-helical elements and three loops (D, anti-codon, and T loops). Further hydrogen bonds mediate the characteristic L-shaped molecular structure. tRNAs have two regions of fundamental functional importance: the anti-codon, which is responsible for specific mRNA codon recognition, and the 3' end, to which the tRNAs corresponding amino acid is attached (by aminoacyl-tRNA synthetases). tRNAs cope with the degeneracy of the genetic code in two manners: having more than one tRNA (with a specific anti-codon) for a particular amino acid; and 'wobble' base-pairing, i.e. permitting non-standard base-pairing at the 3rd anti-codon position. Lineage: Eukaryota; Metazoa; Chordata; Mammalia; Rodentia; Heteromyidae. The record is from Rfam by way of RNAcentral.
GGUGGCUCAGUGGUGGAGUGCUUGCCUUGCAUGCAUGAGGACCUGGGUUCAAUUCCUCAGCACCA